GACGAACGCUGGCGGCGUGCUUAACACAUGCAAGUCGAACGGAAAGGCCCUGCUUUUGUGGGGUGCUCGAGUGGCGAACGGGUGAGUAACACGUGAGUAACCUGCCCUUGACUUUGGGAUAACUUCAGGAAACUGGGGCUAUUACCGGAUAGGAGCUCCUCCUGCUUGUUGGGGGUUGGAAAGUUUCGGCGGUUGGGGAUGGACUCGCGGCUUAUCAGCUUGUUGGUGGGGUAGUGGCUUACCAAGGCUUUGACGGGUAGCCGGCCUGAGAGGGUGACCGGCCACAUUGGGACUGAGAUACGGCCCAGACUCCUACGGGAGGCAGCAGUGGGGAAUAUUGCACAAUGGGCGGAAGCCUGAUGCAGCAACGCCGCGUGCGGGAUGACGGCCUUCGGGUUGUAAACCGCUUUCGCCUGUGACGAAGCGUGAGUGACGGUAAUGGGUAAAGAAGCACCGGCUAACUACGUG
This 468-nucleotide ribosomal RNA is filed under the name uncultured bacterium. RNAcentral's name for it is "partial 16S ribosomal RNA". It matches the Rfam family "Bacterial small subunit ribosomal RNA", at positions 28 to 507 of the family's 1533-position model. The record is from RNAcentral.